AUUGAACGCUGGCGGCAGGCCUAACACAUGCAAGUCGAGCGAGCGGCGGACGGGUGAGUAAUGUAUGGGGAUCUGCCCGAUAGAGGGGGAUAACUACUGGAAACUGUGGCUAAUACCGCAUACUAUCGGAUGAACCCAUAGGGGAUUAGCUAGUAGGUGGGGUAAAGGCUCACCUAGCCGACGAUCUCUAGCUGGUCUGAGAGGAUGAACAGCCACACUGGGACUGAGAAACGGCCCAGACUCCUACGGGAGGCAGCAGUGGGGAAUAUUGCACAAUGGGCGCAAGCCUGAUGCAGCCAUGCCGCGUGUAUGAAGAAGGCCUUCGGGUUGUAAAGUACUUUCAGCAGGGAGGCGUUACCCGCAGAAGAAGCACCGGCUAACUCCGUGCCAGCAGCCGCGGUAAUAC
RNAcentral lists this ribosomal RNA (406 nucleotides) under uncultured bacterium. RNAcentral describes it as "partial 16S ribosomal RNA". It matches the Rfam family "Bacterial small subunit ribosomal RNA", at positions 30 to 526 of the family's 1533-position model. The record is from RNAcentral.